ACCAGGAGACACCACCACAUUUUCACUAAGGCACUGUGAAAAUGCAGCUGACCUGAUGCCAUUGAGGGACAUCCCACUCAGAGUUUGGGUAUUGGAUCUGUGGAGAGCAACAGAGUCUCUGCUCCUGAAAAAGCACUCAGUGGCCACCAAAAGGUGCAGGAGGAAACCGUUUUGCAGGGCUCAUCUGCAUGAGAAACCCGGGCAGCUGGGAAACACCGACAUACGGCUUGGGGGGAGACCCACGCAGACACUGGAGGAGAAAAAUAUUCCAUACAUCGGCUUUCUAUACCACCACCUUCAAAAAGGAAGCUAAACUCAGGAAUUCUGAGUAGCAUCUCCUCUGGAUGGCUGGACUGAGCUAAGGCUUCACAGAAACUUGAAGCUGAGACUCCUUAGACAAAAAAUUCCAUCUGGCUUUACAGGCCAUCCCUGCAUUUCCAGCACAGGAGGGCAAUGGAGACAGAGGCACCUCCACCCAAAACAUUCCCUUCAGAACCAUUUCCUGAGCUCAGUGAAGAUGAGCAACAGAGGGCAUGGGCAUCCUUCCAUCUGCUCCCGCUCUGGAGCAAAG
Ficedula albicollis (Collared flycatcher) is the source of this 571-nucleotide long non-coding RNA. RefSeq lists it as uncharacterized. The transcript has 4 exons. The record is from RefSeq and is a predicted model, not a curated record. NCBI's taxonomy places the organism in Eukaryota, Metazoa, Chordata, Aves, Passeriformes, Muscicapidae.